GCCAUUUGUGAAGGACUGGAAAAGGAAAAUGUCCUGAUGAUGCCAAAAAUAAUAAUAAUAGGGGAAUGAAAUCUUUAAACUUCAGGCCAGUAAACUUAACUUUGAUUCCAGACAAAUUUUUAGAACUUAUUCUUAGAGAUGUUAGUUAACCUUUAGGAAAGAAAGAGGUGAUCACUAAGAGCCAGGAUGGCUUCAUCAGUAGCAAAUUAGUCCAGCUUAACCUUAGGCCCUUUGUUUGGAUAGGAUUAAGAAAUUGAUGGCUCUGGCAAAUUAUAUAUAUACAUAUAUAUAUGCAUAUAUACAUAUCUAUGAUAUGUAUUAGUUUUAAUUAAGCAUUUGAAACAAUCACUCAUAUUGCUUUGAAGAAGAUGGAGAGAUAUAUUCUACACAAUAGUCACUUGUAUUGCUAAGUCUAAGCAGAUUAUGAUAAUGAAACCUAUUUUCUUGGCUGUCAUAAACAGAUGAUUGACUUAGGUACUCAAUAUCUUCAAAAGAAAUGAGGCAUGAAGAGAUACUAGGUAUAUGGCUUAAUGCCCUAGGCCAUCAAAUAAACAUCAUUGUGGAAAAGGAAUGCUUCAGAUGUUUAGAGUGAAGGUUUCUGAGUACCUAUCAGUGAUGGGCUUCUUCUGUCUUCUCAUCUCAAGUAAAAAAGUAUUUGCUCAUUUUCUCAACAGAUGGCUGCUGAAUGCCUACUAUGUACUCAUUCUACACUACGUGUUGAAAUCUAAAGGGAAGUGUAAGAUAUAA
RNAcentral lists this long non-coding RNA (747 nucleotides) under Monodelphis domestica (gray short-tailed opossum). RNAcentral's name for it is "lncRNA (ENSMODG00000049048.1)". Lineage: Eukaryota; Metazoa; Chordata; Mammalia; Didelphimorphia; Didelphidae. The record is from RNAcentral.